CAAGUCGAGCGGUAGAGAGAAGCUUGCUUCUCUUGAGAGCGGCGGACGGGUGAGUAAAGCCUAGGAAUCUGCCUGGUAGUGGGGGAUAACGUUCGGAAACGGACGCUAAUACCGCAUACGUCCUACGGGAGAAAGCAGGGGACCUUCGGGCCUUGCGCUAUCAGAUGAGCCUAGGUCGGAUUAGCUAGUUGGUGAGGUAAUGGCUCACCAAGGCGACGAUCCGUAACUGGUCUGAGAGGAUGAUCAGUCACACUGGAACUGAGACACGGUCCAGACUCCUACGGGAGGCAGCAGUGGGGAAUAUUGGACAAUGGGCGAAAGCCUGAUCCAGCCAUGCCGCGUGUGUGAAGAAGGUCUUCGGAUUGUAAAGCACUUUAAGUUGGGAGGAAGGGCAGUUACCUAAUACGUGAUUGUUUUGACGUUACCGACAGAAUAAGCACCGGCUAACUCUGUGCCAGCAGCCGCGGUAAUACAGAGGGUGCAAGCGUUAAUCGGAAUUACUGGGCGUAAAGCGCGCGUAGGUGGUUUGUUAAGUUGGAUGUGAAAUCCCCGGGCUCAACCUGGGAACUGCAUUCAAAACUGACUGACUAGAGUGUGGUAGAGGGUGGUGGAAUUUCCUGUGUAGCGGUGAAAUGCGUAGAUAUAGGAAGGAACACCAGUGGCGAAGGCGACCACCURGACCAACACUGACACUGAGGUGCGAAAGCGUGGGGAGCAAACAGGAUUAGAUACCCUGGUAGUCCACGCCGUAAACGAUGUCAACUAGCCGUUGGGAGCCUUGAGCUCUUAGUGGCGCAGCUGACGCAUUAAGUUGACUGCCUGGGGAGUACGG
RNAcentral lists this ribosomal RNA (832 nucleotides) under Pseudomonas sp. RNAcentral's name for it is "bacterial SSU rRNA". The record is from RNAcentral. Lineage: Bacteria; Pseudomonadati; Pseudomonadota; Gammaproteobacteria; Pseudomonadales; Pseudomonadaceae.